Molecule: ribosomal RNA, 517 nt
Filed under: uncultured fungus
Lineage: Eukaryota; Fungi
Description: SSU rRNA
Rfam family: Eukaryotic small subunit ribosomal RNA
Source: RNAcentral
AUUAGAUAAAAAACCAAUGCCCUUCGGGGCUUUAUGGUGAUUCAUAAUAACUUAACGAAUCGCAUGGCCUUGAGCCGGCGAUGGUUCAUUCAAAUUUCUGCCCUAUCAACUUUCGAUUGUAGGAUAGAGGCCUACAAUGGUUUCAACGGGUAACGGAGAAUUAGGGCUCGAUUCCGGAGAGGGAGCCUGAGAAACGGCUACCACAUCCAAGGAAGGCAGCAGGCGCGCAAAUUACCCAAUCCCGACACGGGGAGGUAGUGACAAUAAAUACUGAUACAGGGCUCUUUUGGGUCUUGUAAUUGGAAUGAGUACAAUUUAAAUCCCUUAACGAGGAACAAUUGGAGGGCAAGUCUGGUGCCAGCAGCCGCGGUAAUUCCAGCUCCAAUAGCGUAUAUUAAAGUUGUUGCAGUUAAAAAGCUCGUAGUUGAACCUUGGGUCUGGCUGGCCGGUCCGCCUCACCGCGCGCACUGGUCCGGCCGGACCUUUCCUCUUGGGGAUCCGCAUGCCCUUUACUGGG